UCCGUAGGCGGGCAAUUAAGUCAGAGGUGAAAUCCCACAGCUUAACUGUGGAACUGCCUUUGAUACUGGUUGUCUUGAGUUAUAGUGAAGUAGAUAGAAUAUGUAGUGUAGCGGUGAAAUGCUUAUAUAUUACAUAGAAUACCGAUUGCGAAGGCAGUCUACUAACUAUAUACUGACGCUAAUGGACGAAAGCGUGGGGAGCGAACAGGAUUAGAUACCCUGGUAGUCC
This 229-nucleotide ribosomal RNA is filed under the name uncultured bacterium. RNAcentral describes it as "partial 16S ribosomal RNA". It matches the Rfam family "Bacterial small subunit ribosomal RNA", at positions 568 to 796 of the family's 1533-position model. The record is from RNAcentral.